RNAcentral lists this ribosomal RNA (492 nucleotides) under uncultured bacterium. Its description in RNAcentral is "partial 16S ribosomal RNA". It matches the Rfam family "Bacterial small subunit ribosomal RNA", at positions 29 to 507 of the family's 1533-position model. The record is from RNAcentral.
AGUGAACGCUGGCGGUAGGCCUAACACAUGCAAGUCGAACGGCAGCACAGUAAGAGCUUGCUCUUACGGGUGGCGAGUGGCGGACGGGUGAGGAAUACAUCGGAAUCUACUUUUUCGUGGGGGAUAACGUAGGGAAACUUACGCUAAUACCGCAUACGACCUACGGGUGAAAGCAGUGGAUCUUCGGACCUUGCGCGAUUGAAUGAGCCGAUGUCGGAUUAGCUAGUUGGCGGGGUAAAGGCCCACCAAGGCGACGAUCCGUAGCUGGUCUGAGAGGAUGAUCAGCCACACUGGAACUGAGACACGGUCCAGACUCCUACGGGAGGCAGCAGAGGGGAAUAUUGGACAAUGGGCGCAAGCCUGAUCCAGCCAUACCGCGUGGGUGAAGAAGGCCUUCGGGUUGUAAAGCCCUUUUGUUGGGAAAGAAAAGCAGCAGGUUAAUACCCCGCUGUUCUGACGGUACCCAAAGAAUAAGCACCGGCUAACUUCGUG